CUACGGGCCGCUGCAGUGAGGAAUAUUGCACAAUGGGGGGAACCCUGAUGCAGCAACGCCGCGUGGAGGAUGACGCAUUUCGGUGUGUAAACUCCUUUUAUAUGUCAAGAAAAUGACGGUAGCAUAUGAAUAAGCACCGGCUAACUCCGUGCCAGCAGCCGCGGUAAUACGGAGGGUGCAAGCGUUACUCGGAAUCACUGGGCGUAAAGGACGCGUAGGCGGGUUGGAAAGUCAGGUGUGAUAUCCUACAGCUUAACUGUAGAACUGCACUUGAAACUUCUAAUCUAGAGUAUGGGAGGGGGAGAUGGAAUUAGUGGUGUAGGGGUAAGAUCCGUAGAUAUCACUAGGAAUACCUAAAGCGAAGGCGAUCUCCUGGAACAUUACUGACGCUAAGGCGUGAAAGCGUGGGGAGCAAACAGGAUUAGAUACCCUCGUAGUC
This 439-nucleotide ribosomal RNA is filed under the name uncultured bacterium. Its description in RNAcentral is "partial 16S ribosomal RNA". It matches the Rfam family "Bacterial small subunit ribosomal RNA", at positions 339 to 795 of the family's 1533-position model. The record is from RNAcentral.